Halichondria panicea is the source of this 907-nucleotide long non-coding RNA. RefSeq lists it as uncharacterized. The transcript is spliced from 3 exons. The record is from RefSeq and is a predicted model, not a curated record. Lineage: Eukaryota; Metazoa; Porifera; Demospongiae; Suberitida; Halichondriidae.
GGGACAUCUCAGCUUAUCACAUGUCAGAGCAAUGCUUAGCACACACUGAGGGAUACCGAAUUCCAUCUCACUGCAAAUUGUUCCUGAUUCACAUUGCAAUUGCUCACAGCUCCUGGGAAAAACACAUCUAGAAUUGAUGUACUGCCUACACCUAGGCGAACCAGAAGAGCAUGAUUCUGGCCAUACUUGCUCUACACAAAAUCGCUUCCCAGGACAGUUCCUAUCACUACAUCUUCGCACUACACACUUGUCUGUCACUUCUCUACCUCUCCAGAAAAAAGUCGCCGUGCAUUCUCUAUUGCAGGGAUUCACUCGGCAUUCGGCAUUGAGGUAUCGGUCGCAUUGUUCUCCCUCACACACAUUAGGACAGUCUUGGACUGGGUUUGGGCACUCAUCUUGCGAAAAUGCAGCUGCUACUAGCAUGAGGACAAUAAUUACUAUACUCAUAUUUAAAUUUUUAGUAGCAAGGUAUUGGUUCUUCGAUUCUUGGAGUUAAUUGUGUGAGGAGAAGGGUUAGAGCCUACCAAAUUAAUAUUGCAUUCAUUUGGUCAAGGGUCAAAUGCAUUCAUCCUUUGUACUGGGAAAUUAUGCAUGCAUGUGGCUGCCUCAAUAGAAACCAUACACACUCAAGUACCGCAACACAGAUGGCUUUAUGACAAUAGUAACCAUAAUGAUGUGUCUGGUGUAACAAUAAUUAUACACUAUCACGAGACAGGAGAUUGAUCCCUUGAGAUGAUUCAAGUAUCCAGAAAACAGUAGAUCGAUCUAAUCAUCCUGUCACUGAAACCUUGAGGAUGCAAUCAUGCGAGAAGGAUGCAAUCAUGCGUGCGAGAAGACUAUAGGACAGUCUUGGACUGGGCCGUUUGGGCACUCAUCUUGCCAAAAUGCAGCUGCUACUAGCAUGAGG